This 793-nucleotide ribosomal RNA is filed under the name uncultured bacterium. RNAcentral's name for it is "bacterial SSU rRNA". It matches the Rfam family "Bacterial small subunit ribosomal RNA", at positions 8 to 796 of the family's 1533-position model. The record is from RNAcentral.
AGAGUUUGAUCCUGGCUCAGGAUGAACGCUAGCGGCAGGCUUAACACAUGCAAGUCGAGGGGCAGCACGAAUAGCAAUAUUUGGUGGCGACCGGCGCACGGGUGAGUAACGCGUAUGUAAUCUACCUCUAACUGGGGCAUAGCUCCGAGAAAUCGGAAUUAAUACCCCAUAAUAUUAAUGAAAGACAUCUUUUAUUAAUUAAAGUUUUAACGGUUAGAGAUGAGCAUGCGUGCCAUUAGCUUGUUGGUAGGGUAACGGCCUACCAAGGCUACGAUGGCUAGGGGGUCUGAGAGGAUGAUCCCCCACACUGGUACUGAGACACGGACCAGACUCCUACGGGAGGCAGCAGUGAGGAAUAUUGGUCAAUGGGCGCAAGCCUGAACCAGCCAUGCCGCGUGAAGGAUGAAUGUCCUAUGGAUUGUAAACUUCUUUUGUACGGGACGAAACUUUUGCACGUGUGCAAAACUGACGGUACUGUACGAAUAAGCAUCGGCUAACUCCGUGCCAGCAGCCGCGGUAAUACGGAGGAUGCAAGCGUUAUCCGGAUUUAUUGGGUUUAAAGGGUGCGUAGGCGGGAAAAUAAGUCAGUGGUGAAAUCCUACAGCUUAACUGUAGAACUGCCAUUGAUACUGUUAUUCUUGAGUAUAGUUGAAGUGGGUGGAAUGUGUGGUGUAGCGGUGAAAUGCUUAGAUAUCACACAGAACGCCGAUUGCGAAGGCAGCUCACUAAGCUAUUACUGACGCUGAGGCACGAAAGCGUGGGGAUCAAACAGGAUUAGAUACCCUGGUAGUCC